GCGGAGGAAAAGAAACCAACAGGGAUUGCCUCAGUAACGGCGAGUGAAGCGGCAACAGCUCAAAUUUGAAAUCUGGCUCACGCCCGAGUUGUAAUUUGUAGAGGAUGUUUCGGGUGAAGCCGCGGUCCAAGUCCCUUGGAACAGGACGUCAUAGAGGGUGAGAACCCCGUACCUGGCCGCCGGUGCCCCCCGCUGUGAAACUCCUUCGACGAGUCGAGUUGUUUGGGAAUGCAGCUCUAAAUUGGUGGUAAAUUCCAUCUAAAGCUAAAUACCGGCCAGAGACCGAUAGCGCACAAGUAGAGUGAUCGAAAGAUGAAAAGCACUUUGAAAAGAGAGUUAAAAAGUACGUGAAAUUGUUGAAAGGGAAGCGCUUGCGGCCAGACUUGCCUGCAGUUGCUCAGCCCGCCUUUUGGCGGGUGCACUUUUCUGCAGUCAGGCCAGCAUCGGUUUGGGCGGUCGGAUAAAGGCGUUGGGAACGUGCCUCCCCUCGGGGUGGUGUUAUAGCCCGGCGCGCAAUCCACCAGCCCGUUUCCCCCGUUCGCGCUUGCUA
Molecule: ribosomal RNA, 550 nt
Filed under: Magnohelicospora iberica
Lineage: Eukaryota; Fungi; Ascomycota; Dothideomycetes; Venturiales; Venturiaceae
Description: eukaryotic LSU rRNA
Rfam family: Eukaryotic large subunit ribosomal RNA
Source: RNAcentral